CGCGUCUUGGUCAAUGAUUUUAGGUGCUUGCACUUGACNNANNGACNUUGAGACGAGUGGCGAACUGGUGAGUAACACGUGGGUAACCUGCCCUUGAAGUAGAGGAUAACACUUGGAAACAGGUGCUAAUACUGCAUAACAACGAAAACCGNCUGGNUUUCGUUUGAAAGAUGGCUUCNGCUAUCGCUUUAGGAUGGACCCGCGGCGUAUUAGCUAGUUGGUGAGGUAACGGCUCACCAAGGCAAUGAUACGUAGCCGACCUGAGAGGGUAAUCGGCCACAUUGGGACUGAGACACGGCCCAAACUCCUACGGGAGGCAGCAGUAGGGAAUCUUCCACAAUGGACGAAAGUCUGAUGGAGCAACGCCGCGUGAGUGAUGAAGGGUUUCGGCUCGUAAAACUCUGUUGUUGGAGAAGAACGGGUGUCAGAGUAACUGUUGACAUCGUGACGGUAUCCAACCAGAAAGCCACGGCUAACUACGUGCCAGCAGCCGCGGUAAUACGUAGGUGGCAAGCGUUGUCCGGAUUUAUUGGGCGUAAAGCGAGCGCAGGCGGUUUUUUAGGUCUGAUGUGAAAGCCUUCGGCUUAACCGGAGAAGUGCAUCGGAAACCGGGAGACUUGAGUGCAGAAGAGGACAGUGGAACUCCAUGUGUAGCGGUGAAAUGCGUAGAUAUAUGGAAGAACACCAGUGGCGAAGGCGGCUGUCUGGUCUGCAACUGACGCUGAGGCUCGAAAGCAUGGGUAGCGAACAGGAUUAGAUACCCUGGUAGUCCAUGCCGUAAACGAUGAGUGCUAAGUGUUGGAGGGUUUCCGCCCUUCAGUGCUGCAGCUAACGCAUUAAGCACUCCGCCUGGGGAGUACGACCGCAAGGUUGAAACUCAAAGGAAUUGACGGGGGCCCGCACAAGCGGUGGAGCAUGUGGUUUAAU
Molecule: ribosomal RNA, 927 nt
Filed under: bacterium 815
Lineage: Bacteria
Description: bacterial SSU rRNA
Rfam family: Bacterial small subunit ribosomal RNA
Source: RNAcentral